GAUGUUUCCCAAAGAGCAAAUCAUAUAAUGAAUGUGCUGAGAGAAAUGAAGAAGGACUAAAAUCAUCUUCAGGAGGAUCACACUCGUAUUUUGAACCCAGAAGUGUACCUGAGACGUAACAGAAGAAUGCACAUUAAAACUAAAAGAGAACUGGAAAAGUGUGCGUAAUAGUGGGAACAACCCUGCUGAGAUGGGACUCUGGACAAUUGUUCAGGACAAGAGCAGCAGAGAAUACUGACAAGUCUGACAGUGAAUGCU
Molecule: long non-coding RNA, 258 nt
Organism: Grus americana (Whooping crane)
Lineage: Eukaryota; Metazoa; Chordata; Aves; Gruiformes; Gruidae
Exons: 3
Source: RefSeq, a predicted model, not a curated record